AUGACGUACCUAUAAUAACUUUUUUUUUCACAUAUUAUAAUUAAAAAUAUUUAUACAUUAUUUUGUUUGGUGUGAGUGUGAAAAUUGUUUCAAACUACGAAAAACUUCUCCUUGAAUAUGAUGAAAUAUAUUUUCGGCAAAAUAAUUAAAACAAACAAAAUGCGUACGAACAGAAAAAUUACUAUUGCAGCAGUAUUUUUGAAAUAAAACCAACAAAGCUAAGCCAGAAGCCAUGAAUAUGACAGAAAAAGAAGCCAAAACAAAUACUAGCUAAGAUAUUUUGUAAGACGCCAUAGUGCAUUGCUUCACAAAGCACGAAACAGAUUAAUUACAAUUACUUGUAAGUCAGUUUUUACCAAUG
Molecule: long non-coding RNA, 361 nt
Organism: Aphis gossypii (cotton aphid)
Lineage: Eukaryota; Metazoa; Arthropoda; Insecta; Hemiptera; Aphididae
Exons: 3
Source: RefSeq, a predicted model, not a curated record